RNAcentral lists this long non-coding RNA (573 nucleotides) under Homo sapiens (human). RNAcentral describes it as "HSALNT0356596". The record is from RNAcentral. Lineage: Eukaryota; Metazoa; Chordata; Mammalia; Primates; Hominidae.
UCGUCACCUCCCUCACUGACUCUGAGCUUGGCCAUGCGUCUAACCUUGGUCAACGGAACAUCAGCCAACGUCUAACCUCGGCCAACGGAACAUCAGCCAUGCGUCCAACCUUGGCCAACGGAACAAGUGAAGGUGAAGAAACUAAGAAUCAGAGGAGUUCUAACUGAGCCAUGAGGACUCGAUUCCUGAAAACCUUAUUUAUAAAAAACAGGAAUGGGAACUAAAACAAGGCAACCUGUGCAAGCCCUUACAAGUUUUUCAUGUAUUACAGUAAAAGGUAAAGCAACUUAAAAACCACUUGACAUUUUUUAACAUUUGUAAAAUUUUGUAAUGCACAGUUGUCUCUCAUUUACCAUCCCUUGCUAGAAACUUCUUAGGCUCACCCUUCACUGCAUUUCCAACAUUAUUUUGCUGAUAAUGUAUACGCCCAAGUGACAUGUUUUCAUUUGGCUUAACUUUCAAUGCCUUUUUGAUUUUAUGAUCUAGUCCUUUAUUGCUGGACCCUUGAAUUGUAUCUAGUCUUCUGCUAUUACAAAAAAUGCUGAAUCAAAUAAACCUGAACAUGUAACAUCA